Molecule: ribosomal RNA, 1967 nt
Filed under: Escherichia coli
Lineage: Bacteria; Pseudomonadati; Pseudomonadota; Gammaproteobacteria; Enterobacterales; Enterobacteriaceae
Description: partial 23S ribosomal RNA
Rfam family: Bacterial large subunit ribosomal RNA
Source: RNAcentral
AGCCCCGUACACAAAAAUGCACAUGCUGUGAGCUCGAUGAGUAGGGCGGGACACGUGGUAUCCUGUCUGAAUAUGGGGGGACCAUCCUCCAAGGCUAAAUACUCCUGACUGACCGAUAGUGAACCAGUACCGUGAGGGAAAGGCGAAAAGAACCCCGGCGAGGGGAGUGAAAAAGAACCUGAAACCGUGUACGUACAAGCAGUGGGAGCACAGAGCAAUCUGUGUGACUGCGUACCUUUUGUAUAAUGGGUCAGCGACUUAUAUUCUGUAGCAAGGUUAACCGAAUAGGGGAGCCGAAGGGAAACCGAGUCUUAACUGGGCGUUAAGUUGCAGGGUAUAGACCCGAAACCCGGUGAUCUAGCCAUGGGCAGGUUGAAGGUUGGGUAACACUAACUGGAGGACCGAACCGACUAAUGUUGAAAAAUUAGCGGAUGACUUGUGGCUGGGGGUGAAAGGCCAAUCAAACCGGGAGAUAGCUGGUUCUCCCCGAAAGCUAUUUAGGUAGCGCCUCGUGAAUUCAUCUCCGGGGGUAGAGCACUGUUUCGGCAAGGGGGUCAUCCCGACUUACCAACCCGAUGCAAACUGCGAAUACCGGAGAAUGUUAUCACGGGAGACACACGGCGGGUGCUAACGUCCGUCGUGAAGAGGGAAACAACCCAGACCGCCAGCUAAGGUCCCAAAGUCAUGGUUAAGUGGGAAACGAUGUGGGAAGGCCCAGACAGCCAGGAUGUUGGCUUAGAAGCAGCCAUCAUUUAAAGAAAGCGUAAUAGCUCACUGGUCGAGUCGGCCUGCGCGGAAGAUGUAACGGGGCUAAACCAUGCACCGAAGCUGCGGCAGCGACACUGUGUGUUGUUGGGUAGGGGAGCGUUCUGUAAGCCUGUGAAGGUGUGCUGUGAGGCAUGCUGGAGGUAUCAGAAGUGCGAAUGCUGACAUAAGUAACGAUAAAGCGGGUGAAAAGCCCGCUCGCCGGAAGACCAAGGGUUCCUGUCCAACGUUAAUCGGGGCAGGGUGAGUCGACCCCUAAGGCGAGGCCGAAAGGCGUAGUCGAUGGGAAACAGGUUAAUAUUCCUGUACUUGGUGUUACUGCGAAGGGGGGACGGAGAAGGCUAUGUUGGCCGGGCGACGGUUGUCCCGGUUUAAGCGUGUAGGCUGGUUUUCCAGGCAAAUCCGGAAAAUCAAGGCUGAGGCGUGAUGACGAGGCACUACGGUGCUGAAGCAACAAAUGCCCUGCUUCCAGGAAAAGCCUCUAAGCAUCAGGUAACAUCAAAUCGUACCCCAAACCGACACAGGUGGUCAGGUAGAGAAUACCAAGGCGCUUGAGAGAACUCGGGUGAAGGAACUAGGCAAAAUGGUGCCGUAACUUCGGGAGAAGGCACGCUGAUAUGUAGGUGAAGUCCCUCGCGGAUGGAGCUGAAAUCAGUCGAAGAUACCAGCUGGCUGCAACUGUUUAUUAAAAACACAGCACUGUGCAAACACGAAAGUGGACGUAUACGGUGUGACGCCUGCCCGGUGCCGGAAGGUUAAUUGAUGGGGUCAGCGCAAGCGAAGCUCUUGAUCGAAGCCCCGGUAAACGGCGGCCGUAACUAUAACGGUCCUAAGGUAGCGAAAUUCCUUGUCGGGUAAGUUCCGACCUGCACGAAUGGCGUAAUGAUGGCCAGGCUGUCUCCACCCGAGACUCAGUGAAAUUGAACUCGCUGUGAAGAUGCAGUGUACCCGCGGCAAGACGGAAAGACCCCGUGAACCUUUACUAUAGCUUGACACUGAACAUUGAGCCUUGAUGUGUAGGAUAGGUGGGAGGCUUUGAAGUGUGGACGCCAGUCUGCAUGGAGCCGACCUUGAAAUACCACCCUUUAAUGUUUGAUGUUCUAACGUGGACCCGUGAUCCGGGUUGCGGACAGUGUCUGGUGGGUAGUUUGACUGGGGCGGUCUCCUCCUAAAGAGUAACGGAGGAGCACGAAGGUUGGCUA